Phyllopteryx taeniolatus (common seadragon) is the source of this 3449-nucleotide long non-coding RNA. RefSeq lists it as uncharacterized. Lineage: Eukaryota; Metazoa; Chordata; Actinopteri; Syngnathiformes; Syngnathidae. The transcript has 2 exons. The record is from RefSeq and is a predicted model, not a curated record.
CAAAACGUAAACACAGCCAGUUGGUCCACGUCCACGCAAGGGGAUUAUCUCGUCGCUCUUAUCAUUUCUCUUAAUAGCAACGUUUCUAUGUUCGUAGGCACAGAUAUGUACAGGUUGAUACGACUCGCCCAAUUGGGAGGCCCUUUCACAUGUAAAAGUGUUUUUGUGUUGAUUUCUUUUUUUCUAAUCUUGUGCAUUGGUAGUAUACGCUUAAUUGUUGACGAAACAGUAACCGCCAUGAAAAUAGGAUGAGAAAUGAGGAAGUUACGACUUGAUUUCAGUGUCCAUGUUUUGUUACUUCUAUGGGAACGACGACCUCCCUAACAUGGCCGCCACGUAGGCAUGUCGGUUAUAGCCGGGAUGCUACAUCGCGUUGGCGUAUCUAUGUUCCUUGGUCUAUUCUCGAUGCUUCGAAGGCGACCGGGAAAUUGUUCUCGAGCCGGCAUAUUUAUUUAUUUUUCAGAAGCUUUAUUGAUCAUAUUUAAUUUACAAACAAAAACAGAUAGACAACAUAGACAUUAAUACAUAAGAUCAUACGAGAGAGGAGCUAGAAGGAUCCAUCCAUCCAUUUUCUGAACCGCUUAUCCUCACCAGAGGCUUCAUGGACAAAAGGUGCGUACGGACAAAAACGUGGCGUCCGUUCUUUUUCACCGCAAAGGUCAGAUGUAUCAAGAGUGACAUGACCGUGGAAAUGUGCGGUGCCUCACGCCAACUGCAUGGCUGGCGAAUGCACGUUUCUGCAGCUUUUGGUGCUUUGGCGACACUUAGAGGCGAUGCUGAGAAACUGUUCUCAUAAAUCUGCACACCAGAUUUAUUAGCACUGAUGAACAAUUCAUGCCCGGCAACAUUUGAUUUCAACAAUGCAAUUGAGGGCACUUCAGCAAAUAACCAGAUCAACAAAUAUUUUGCAUGUUCAGGCUCUCACAUGAGGUGUUUUGGAGACAAAGAGAGCAGACUUGGAUGGUUUGGUUUGGACAUGUCCAGAGGAGAGAGAGUGAGUAUAUUGGUAGAAGGAUGAUGAGGAGGGAGCUGAAGACCUAGAAGAGAACUAGAAGAAGACCAGAGAGAAUAUUGAUAGAUGUUGUGGUAAAGAAGGAGCUAAGCCGAAAGGCGAAGCUCUCGAUUUACCGGUCCAUCUACGUUCCUACCCUCACCUAUGGUCACAAGCUGUGGGUCGUGACCGAAAGAACGAGAUCCCGGAUACAAGCGGCCGAAAUGGGUUUUCUCCGCAGGGUGUCCGGGCGCUCCCUUAGAGAUAGGGUGAGAAGCUCGGUCAUCCGGGAGGAUCUCAGAGUAGAGCCGUUGCUCCUUCACAUCGAGAGGAGCCAGAUGAGGUGGCUGGGGCAUCUGAUUCGGAUGCCUCCCGGACGCCUCCCUGGUGAGGUGUUCCGGGCUCGUCCCACCGGGAAGAGACCCCAGGACACACUGGAGAGACUACAUCCUUCGGCUGGCCUGGGAACACCUCGGGAUCCCCCCGGAAGAGAUGAAUGAAGUGGCUGGGGAAAGGGAAGUCUGGGCGUCCCUGCUAAAGUUAAUGCCCCCGCGACCUGACCUCGGAUAAGCGGUAGAAGAUGGAUGGAUGGAUGGAUGGAAGUAGAAGCCCAUCUGGGGACUGCAUGACCUCAUACUCCCAUAAUGGCAAAAAUAUUUCUUGCCGUAAUUUCUCCCACAAUCCUAUCUAGUGACUCUACCAACCCCGCUGACUAGGGAGACUCUGACUCUAAGUAAAACUUAACCAUCCUUAUACUGAAAACUCCUAAAUAUAUGUACUGUAUAGCCUUUACCAUUUAUUUCUCUUCAAGGGCAGGUGACCUGCUUAAUACCAAUUACCUCAAGUGUGUCCCCACCAUUUUCCGAUGAGCCACUGAGCACCGACCGACUCCGACCUCAGCCACACAGCAUCCUUGAUGGCUUCUAGUCGUGUCCACUUUGUCCCCCACUGAAACAGACUUUCAUCACAUUAUUCCAAUCCACUUGGUAAACGUUGAGACACAGGACCAUUCAGCUCCUCUUUUUUCUUUCCUUCCAGCUUUCACCGUCUCCACCACAAAGUCCUUUCAUUGGCUCUCUUUCUGUCAUGAGAAACAUCAUUCAUAUAGAUGCAGUCAUCAGGUUGAAGAGUCUCUCUCAGUAACUCAUGACAAAUAUUAACAGUUGCGCCCCCUUUCCCAGCUGGACAGCAUUGCUGGUGGUGGUGUGGAGAUGCUAGACUAUUUGAUAAAUUGCCAAAGAAUGUAACAGGUCUUUGUGCUCUAGUGCUUUGUUGUUACCGGUAUCGGCACUUCCCAUGUCUGUACAAGAAUUAACAGCGAGGUUAUCCACUGUCAUGCCAGAACAUUGGCGACGUCAGAAAAGAGCAGCAGACUGGCAGGGCCAAAAUGAUCCAACAUACAUUGAUGCUGUUGGUGUUCUCCGUGGUGUUCCAAGUGAGUACAAAUUAGUAGAUCAAAUAGCUGCAGGAUUUGAGUCCUCGAUCUGUUGGUGGUUUACAACCAACAAAAACGUAGACAGAAUCAACUACAUCCAUUACAACGUGCAAACAUUGGGCAAUUGGACACAGAGUGGGUUUGAAGCUAUACAUGAACAGCUAUCAGCCACAUCACUUAUGGCAUUCCAAAACAGGAUAGCUGUUGACAUGUUGUUGGCUGAGAGAGGAGGACUAUGUGGUAUGUUCAGGAGAACAAUGCUGCACAUUCAUUCCCAACAACACAGCUACGGAUGGCAGUCUCACUGAGGCCAAAGAGGGACUCCGAACCCUUAAUGGUAAGAUGAAGGAACACUCUGGUGUUGACACCUCCAUGUGGGACUCCUGGAUGAAUGCCUUUGGAAAAUACAAAGCCGUGGUGUCCUCAAUUUUGGUAUCAAUCGCUGUUUUUGCAGCAAUUUUGACCUUGUGUGGAUGUUGUUGUAUUCCUUGUCUGCGUUCUCUCAUUAAUAGAUUGAUAACAACAGCAAUCUCACCCAUGGAGAACCGAAUGGCUCAAAUGUAUCCUUUACUUGGUCCUGACCCUGAAGAUAAUGACAGUGAUGAUGAUAAUGACAGUGAUGAUGAUAAUGACGUGCAUUAUGACCUGCCUGAUUUCUUUCUAGAUCCAGGUGACUAUGAAUAAAGAUUAACAUUGCCUCUGAGUGUAAAUGUAUUUGUUUUCAUAAAAAUGAUCAUACAGUCGAAAAUCUAACUGAAGUGACUGAUGUAAGGUGAUGUGAGAAUUUGAGUAAAUAUGUCAUAAACAGGAGGGAAAUUUUAGAAUAAAUGUACAUAAAUUAUCUCAUGUUUACUCUAAUCCUAUUGCAAAGCAUUCAUUCAGCAGUAUAAAGUUGAUUGUAUCAUGAAAGUUGAAGUUGUCUGUGAAGAGAACUGUGUCGUCAUCAAAAGAUAGCGGCUGGAACAUUUUGCGGUCGAAGGUUGAAACAAUCAGCGCUGAUGAAGAACACAUCUGCAUUAUCAU